AUGCUUAUCCUUUUGAUGAACCAGGAUGCACUUUGGCCCACGCUUUCGCUCCCUCUCCUGGAACUGGUGGAGAAGUACAUUUCGAUGAUGAUGAGUUUUUCACCUUCCGUUCAAGAAAAGUUUGGUCACUCUAUUGGACUUUCUCAUUCCAACAUUCCCGGGGCCCUGAUGUAUCCCACGUACAGCUGCAGGGACGUGCAGAGCUUCUCUCUGCCCUCAGAUGACAUCAGAGGAAUUCAGUCUCUCUAUGGCCCAAACGGAAACAGUCGUGAAACCCUAGACAAACCUGAUCCAAAACCACUCACGUCUCCUGACGCUUGUGACCCUAAAAUGAUCUUCAAUGCAGUUACAGUAUGGAGAGGAGAAAUGAUGUUCUUCAAGGACAGUUUCUCCCGGCGUACUUCUCAGGACAGAAGAGUGGAGCAAAAUUAAAUCAACAGUUUCUGGCCCAACGUCACAGAUAAUAUAGAUGCAGCUUAUGAAAGCCCAUUGCAAGAUUGAGUUAGAAAAAGAGUUUUCUAAUUCAAAGCCAGGCAAGUUUGGGCCCUUGUUGGCAACAAUGUUGAGAGUGGGUAUCCCAGGACUGUCAGCAUCCUGGGUCUGCCAUCAUCCGUAAGUAGAUUGAGUGCUGCCGUCUACGACCAAAACUCUGUGAAAACUUUGCUCUUCGCUGGCAAAAAUUACUAUAGGUAGGUCAAGUUCUGUGUAUCAUCAACAAAUAAGAGCCCUGAAAUGACAUGAAACCUUUUGCCUGCUCCAUAAGCCCAUUAUAAUGUUACAUUUCCCUUA
Molecule: RNA transcript, 789 nt
Organism: Myxocyprinus asiaticus (Chinese sucker)
Lineage: Eukaryota; Metazoa; Chordata; Actinopteri; Cypriniformes; Catostomidae
Gene name: neutrophil collagenase-like
Exons: 5
Source: RefSeq, a predicted model, not a curated record